CGGAAUGUGGCGCAGCCUGGUAGCGCACUUGUCUGGGGGACAAGGGGUCGUGGGUUCGAAUCCCGCCAUUCCGACCA
RNAcentral lists this transfer RNA (77 nucleotides) under Teichococcus aerophilus. Its description in RNAcentral is "tRNA-Pro". It matches the Rfam family "tRNA". From Rfam's summary of the family: Transfer RNA (tRNA) molecules are approximately 80 nucleotides in length. Their secondary structure includes four short double-helical elements and three loops (D, anti-codon, and T loops). Lineage: Bacteria; Pseudomonadati; Pseudomonadota; Alphaproteobacteria; Acetobacterales; Roseomonadaceae. The record is from RNAcentral. RNAcentral also lists the same sequence under 3 other names.